UCCUGGCUCAGGACGAACGCUGGCGGCGUGCCUAAUACAUGCAAGUCGAGCGGACAGAUGGGAGCUUGCUCCCUGAUGUUAGCGGCGGACGGGUGAGUAACACGUGGGUAACCUGCCUGUAAGACUGGGAUAACUCCGGGAAACCGGGGCUAAUACCGGAUGGUUGUUUGAACCGCAUGGUUCAGACAUAAAAGGUGGCUUCGGCUACCACUUACAGAUGGACCCGCGGCGCAUUAGCUAGUUGGUGAGGUAACGGCUCACCAAGGCAACGAUGCGUAGCCGACCUGAGAGGGUGAUCGGCCACACUGGGACUGAGACACGGCCCAGACUCCUACGGGAGGCAGCAGUAGGGAAUCUUCCGCAAUGGACGAAAGUCUGACGGAGCAACGCCGCGUGAGUGAUGAAGGUUUUCGGAUCGUAAAGCUCUGUUGUUAGGGAAGAACAAGUGCCGUUCAAAUAGGGCGGCACCUUGACGGUACCUAACCAGAAAGCCACGGCUAACUACGUGCCAGCAGCCGCGGUAAUACGUAGGUGGCAAGCGUUGUCCGGAAUUAUUGGGCGUAAAGGGCUCGCAGGCGGUUUCUUAAGUCUGAUGUGAAAGCCCCCGGCUCAACCGGGGAGGGUCAUUGGAAACUGGGGAACUUGAGUGCAGAAGAGGAGAGUGGAAUUCCACGUGUA
Molecule: ribosomal RNA, 678 nt
Filed under: Bacillus sp. (in: firmicutes)
Lineage: Bacteria; Bacillati; Bacillota; Bacilli; Caryophanales; Bacillaceae
Description: bacterial SSU rRNA
Rfam family: Bacterial small subunit ribosomal RNA
Source: RNAcentral